UCCCACCUACGGGGCGCAGCAGUAGGGAAUUUUCGGCAAUGGGGGGAACCCUGACCGAGCAACGCCGCGUGAACGAAGAAGUUAUUCGUAAUGUAAAGUUCUUUUAUCAGGGAAGAAAGAGGAAUUUGACGGUACCUGAGGAAUAAGCUCCGGCUAACUACGUGCCAGCAGCCGCGGUAAUACGUAGGGAGCGAGCGUUAUCCGGAAUUAUUGGGUGUAAAGGGUGCGUAGACGGGACAGCAAGUUAGUUGUGAAAGCCCUCGGCUUAACUGAGGAACUGCAACUAAAACUAUUGUUCUUGAGUG
RNAcentral lists this ribosomal RNA (305 nucleotides) under uncultured bacterium. Its description in RNAcentral is "bacterial SSU rRNA". It matches the Rfam family "Bacterial small subunit ribosomal RNA", at positions 331 to 648 of the family's 1533-position model. The record is from RNAcentral.